AUGGUUUUGGUAAAUGUAGUUGACCAUGUAUGUUUGAGCUCGGCAAUUAGAUUCUGAAUGUUGGAUGUCAUUCAGCCUUGGUUUGCAGCUUGUUGUUCAGUUUGUUAUGCUUUGUACCCUGAUACUGAGAUGAUUUGAAGUUGUUUGUAAGACUGGCCAAUUUUUGUGAGCUAUGGAGCUUUCGCUGGGUACUUUGUUGGGAUGGUGGCAGCUUAGCUUUUGUUUGUGUCCUCUUCUGAAAUAAUCCAAGGCAUGUAAACUGAGAGACUAAUGAUGGAGAAUUCGACAUUAAUCUUAUUGAAGGUUGCUAUCGAUGACCAUAUUGAUAGACCGAGUUGCAUCCAGCUGACCAUAGGACCUCACCUGCUCAGUGGAAGUUUUGCAAUUUUUUCCCAGUAACAUUACAAAACUCACCCCUCCCAUGAACUUCCCUUACCCACUUUUCUUUUUGCCCAGGCAAUGCAAUUUGCAGAAGCUUAGAAGUACCUUUGGUUCUCACUGGAAGUUCUUUCUUUACCUUUUUUCCCUUUAACUCUAUUUCUUCAAUUAUGAUCUGCUGGUGUCUUUAAAUGGAAAAUCCUUGUCUGAUGCAUGCUUACUUUGUAAAUCAUUCUGUCCAGUUUGUGAGGAAGAAGGAUGUUGUUAGUGCUUAGAGAUUAGUAUACAUGGCACAUUCCUCAAUUAUUCGCUCUCUAGUGUAAAAGGCUUGAAUCACUAAAUCCUGGCUUUUGCUUAACAGUUACAGGUGAAGAUAUUUCACAGCCAUUGUUUAUGUUUUGUCUUUAAAUAAACUUUGGGCUGAUGGACCCUUUAUAGCUUUUAGGUUUUAACCCAGCCAUGUGCAUAGAUUUCCACUUCUCAUGGACUCGCUAGACUUGACAAGGAGAAGCAGACGCAAACGAGGUCAUCAGUCAUUACUCAUCCCCUGUCACUUAUCUAAACCGUCUGAAUUGGCGCUUUCACCACCUGGGCCGAAAGUGAGAUCAGAUAUCCGAUCUUUCGAACAAAAUGAAUGUAAACGGGUCUAAUCGGGUCUAGUUUCACUCUCAAACUCUUUAAUUUAUUUUUUUAAGAGGAGAAUCUACACCUUACAAGAAAAAAUGAAAACAAAGAGUUUGGGAGUCGAAUAUGAGAUUUUAGGACCUUUCUCCAUCUCUUAUGAAUUUAUAGUUUCUUUAAUCCGAAAUACAAAUGCUAGUCUAUAGUGAAUUGUGUAUGCUAUAUCUUAAAUGUUAAAAAUAUAUUCUCCCCAAGGAAAACUAACAAAGAAGCAAAUGGUAGUCACAUAAUAUUUAAUCAACUAUUCAAAAUAAAAAUAGAAAGAAGAAUGUUAGUUACUUUGUUAAUUUGGUAUAUACUUUUAAAUAUUAACUAAUCAAAAAUUCUAGUUUGCUAAUAUCUGUUUAAAUUGUUAAAUUUCUGGUUAUCCAUAGGGGUGACAAUUGGGUCCAAAUUGGGUUGGCGGGUCGGGUUGAGACCCCGGUAUAAUAGAAAUCCGUUGACCCGAAUCUGAUCCGUCAAUCCAAAAUGGGUCAGGAUAUCUGACCCGAACUCGAAAAUUUUGGGUUGGCAGGUCUAUCUGAAAUUUAAUUUUAAUUUAUUAAUUUAUCAGUGUAAUUUCUAAUAAAACCAAUUUCACACAAGACUAAUUACAUAAUUAAGUAAUAAAAUUUUAAAUAAAUAAUUUCAAAUCAAAUUUAAAAUAAAUUGAAACACCAUAAAAAUGUUUUAUCCCAAACCAAAUAUAAAAUAAAUUAAAACAGUAUAAAAGUAAAAAAUAAUAUAAUACAUUAUUUGUCUAAAUAUAAUAAUUUCAAUUUCACACAAGUUAAAUAAAUUUAUUUAAGAUUAAGUGAUUAAUGUCUUUGGAAAAAAAGAAUACCUUAGUCUUGUUAGAUAAAAUAAUUUUUAUGUUUAUUAAAUAAUUUUUAAUUUGUAAACGGGUUAUCAGGUCAUAUCGGAUCACCCACGGGUUGAUCCGAAUUCGACCCGUUUUCUUUUCGGGUUCAUCGAGUUCAACCCGAACUUGCGAAAUUUCAACCAAAACCCAUUAAUUUCGUGUUGGAUUCGUGUCGUGUUUUCAGGUCGUGUCAGAAAUUGCUAUCUCUAGUUAUCCAUGCUUUUGACUAUGAUAGUUAUAUAGUACAAAAUCAUGAAUUUCCUAUUAGUGAAUACAUAUGUAAACUAAAAUGAGAACGAAAUUGUAAAUAAAAGAAUACUAAAAUGUUAUAAUAAGCAUACAAUCAGUAAUACUAAUAGGAAAGUAAAAAAAAAAAUAGUGACAUUCGAGAAGUGAAAAAAUAAAAAGAAAAAUAAAAUAUCAAAAAAGAAAAAUAAAGGAUGAAUAAAUAAGGAGAAAAUUAAAAUAAUAUAGUAAGGGCACUUUUAUUCUAAAACAUCAAGCAGGAAAGUAAAGUACCUAUUUAAUGAGUUUAGGGAAGUUAAAGUGCAAUUGAAGGCAAAAGUCUCAAGGAGGUUUAGUACAUUAAUCCAUUUCAAAAAUGCCUAUCACUUUUGACCCAAUAAAUGUACAAACUCCUGCCCAGUUGGUAGGUUAUGAACCAAUGUAGACAAUAUGACAUUCAACAUAGCUCAUUGGUUGCUCAGUCGAUUAAGACAUAUCGCUAGCCUAGCCACUAGCAUGAAGGUGAUAAAAUACACAUUUUGUAAAUGGUUUCUAUACAUUUUUUUCUUUCUUGAUUUCCUUUUUCAAGAUCGCCAAACACUUCUGAUAGUAUGGAUGGAGUUUCUGCUUGGGAGUUUGUGGUUUCUUAAAAAUCUAAAAGGACGGAAUUUGAUAUCCAUCAAAGCCAUUUCUUUCUGACAUGAAGUUGUCAGUAUCAGGGUCCUGUGGUUCAAGAUCUGGUUUACAGGGUCUUUCCUCACAUGACUUUGUCUUUUUCUUCCCUUUUGAAGGUAAUGGAUAAUCAUCAUCAAAAUGAUAUUCCCACCAACAGUCAUCACAUUUAGUACAUAUAUCAAAAUAAAUAUGUCCAGAAAUAGGAUCUUGAAAAUGACAUACUGGUUCACUUUCCUUAGUGAAAUGAGCAAUAAUAUUUUGGGCAAAACCUUUUUCUCAGUUUUCAUCAUAUCUUUCAAGAGCUAUUUCUUCUUCAGUUAGUGUCUCCAUGGAAACCUGUGCAAACAUCAUAGUAGGAUAAGAUUUUUUUGAAUUUGGUUUUAAAUGGGAAUGAUCAAAAGUAAUUGAAAUUCUCCCUUCUUGUGUCUGAGAGAUUUUUGAGUUUCAAAACUCAAUAGGUUCAUUUGCUUGAGAAUGCAGGGACUCAUAAUCAGUAAUCCAAUUGUCUGGUAACAAUUGAAUUAAUUCUAAUUUUGAAAUUUGUCUUGGCAUAUGGGUAUAAGAGGCUGAAUUCUUCUCAUUAAUACGGAUAAAAAGAGCAUCUUCUCCACCAGGAAUUGUGAGAUCCAGAAUAUGAUUUUGGAUACGAUAAACCAUCUGAUAGUGGAGGGUUGCAGCAAUAGCAUCUGUCAUCUGGUCUGCUCCUAUGAUUUGUACCUGGACUUUAAGAGCAUCAAGCAAAUGGGGAUCUGACAGAGACAUGUUAAAAUUGGAGAAAAGAGUCACAAAAACAGUUCCAACAUUUAGAGUAGUUUCUACGGUUGCUAUACAAGCAUGCUGGUAUUUUGUGAAUCUGGUGUCAAACAAGGCUAUGCGAGCCACCAUUGGUAGCUCCUUUCUACUAUGAAAGGAUAAAAAGAAUCUAAUUGCACCAAAAUGAAUAUGAGUAAAUCCUUAUUGCUUCCAUUGAGAAGGAAAUUCUGGAGGAAUUUAGAGAGUAAUGAACUAUUCCUUCUUAGUAACAAGGAUAAGAUGUUGAUCCACUUUUGAAGCCUGAAUAUAUUCUUUUAUGCCCUUGGGAUAAUGCUUGAUCAGGGAUUUGAUAGCCCUGAUAGGUGAGAAUUGUUGUUUGCCAAAUGUAGUAUAUGGAUUAAUAACAUGCAAAGAGGUAGGAUUAACCAUCUCUGGUUCAACAGACACUUCAUACAAAUAAUCGAAUUUAUUACUAUUAGUUCUAUUUAAUAUAAGUUUACUGGAAGUAGAAUCACUCAUUUUAGAAAUAAAAGAACUCAUAUUUUUAAUUUAUUAAAAUCUUUCUCACCAUUUAUCUUAUAAAUACGAUACCAUAACAUAUAUAUAUAUAUAUAUAUAUACCUGUCUUCUAACUAUCUGGUAUGAUUUAGAAUGCAAAUAAUCUAGUAAAUUAAAACUUUCUAACUUAAGUACUCUUAUGUAAUCUAUAUAUUCUCGCUUAUUAUAAUAUUCAAACAUAAAACAUGGAGAACCUCUACAAACAUCAUUAAAAACAUAAUUAUAUUAAUUUCCUGAAUGUGGAUCAAAGUGGUGUCAUGAACCUAUAAAAAGUAUAGAAAGAAAUUUUAAUAUUGAAAAUUUGGAUGAGAAAUUUUCCUUUUAGGUAUGGCUCUGAUACCAAACUCAGAGUAGCCAACUCUAAAUUUUAAAGGUAUUCUCAAACACAAUAGCCUCUCUCUCUUGAACUUUCAAAAGUUCAAGAGACUUUUAUCAAAAGAUCAUAGUGAUUACCUUCAUAAGGAUCUCGGCCUUGUUAAAGGGAAAAUAAAAAGUUUAAGCCACCAUAACUUUGGGAAAUUGUUAGAAAUUUUAUUGGGUUUCUCAAUCUUUUCUUCGAUGAUCCUUCCAAAUGGUAAGAGUCAUCUAUUUAUACAAACUAAAGUAACCUUUUGGACACUUGACCUUUCAGAAAUCAAAUAGUAAAAUGACUUUUGGUGAAAGGUAAUAGACAACCUUUCAAGAAUUCAAAAGACAAACAACCUUUCAGAAAAAUAAAAGACAAAUGACCUUUUAGAAAAGUAAAGGUUACAGAUAAAGUUACAGACAACCUUUAUUAUUAGGACCUAUUAUUGUCUAAACGUCCCAAAUCCACUGGUAGUUUUCAUCAGGGGUAUCCGAGGGAGUGGUGUCAGGAUCAGUGAUGUUGUACAGCUCAACUCAUGUGCUUCUCAAUUUUUCCUUUUAUUCAAUUGUCUUUUUUCUUUUGAUCUUGUUUUAUGAACAUAAGAAGAUGAAGAGGGUCCAACUUCUGAUUGCCUUUUUAACUUUAGUCCAAUGAAGAUGACUAGUUUCAUAGUUCCAUGAACCAUAAUGUCUUUUGGCCAAAUCUCAGGUGGAAUGCAUCUGUUUUUCUAAAAUAUAUAUCUCUGAACUUCCUCAUAAUCAAGAUCUAAGAUAGUAUGAGACAUAUGAGACAAGCCAAUCAGAAGCUGGACCCUCUUCAUCUUUUUAUGUUCAUAAAACAAGAUCAGAAGAAGAAAACAGUUGAAUAAAAGGAAAAAUCGAGAAGCACAUGAGUAUCAUAUUGAGUUGUACAUCACUGAUCCUGAUACCACUCCCUCGAAUACCCCUGAUGAAGACUACCAGUGGAUUUGGAAUAUUUAGACAAUAAUAGGUUCUAGCAAUAAAGGUUGUCUGUAACUUUUACCUUUCUAAAGGGUCAUUUGUCUUUUAUUUUUCUGAAAGGCUGUUUGUCUUUUGAGUCCUUGAAAGGUUGUCUAUUACCUUUGACCGAGAGUCAUUUUACUAUAUGAUUUCUGAAAGAUCAAGCAUCUGAAAGGUCACUUUAGUUUGUAUAAAUAGAUGACUUUUACCAUUUGAGAAGAUCAUCGAAGAAAAGAUUGAGAAAAAUCCAAUAAAAUUUCUAACAAUUUCUCAAAGUUAUGGCAGUUUCAACUUCUUAUUUUCUCUUUAGGAAGGCCGAGAUUCUUAUGAAGAUAAUCAUUCUGAUCUUGUGAUAAAAUUCCUUUGAACUUUUGAAAACCCAAAAAAGAGAAGCUGUUGUGUUCGGGAAUACCUUCAAAAUUUAGAGUUGGUUAUUCUGAAUUUGGUAUCAGAGUCAAAUCUAAAGGAAAAAUUUCUCAUCCAAAUUUUUAUUCUUAAAAUUUCUUUCUAUACUUUUUAAUGGAUUCAUGACACCACUUUGAUCCAUAUUCAGGAGAUUGGUAUAAUUAUGUCUUUAAUGAUAUUUGUAGAGGUUCUCAAUAUUUUAUGUUUGAAUAUUAUAAUAAGUAAGAAUGUAUAGAUUAUAUUAGACUAUUUGAAUUAGAAAUUUUUAAUUUACUAGAUUAUUGGUAUCCUAAAUCAUACCAGAUAGUUAGAAGACGUGUAUGUAUAAAUCUUAUAUGGUAUCGUAUUUAUAAGAUAAUAGUGAGGAAGAUUUUAAUAAAUUAAAAAUAUAAGUUCUUCUACUUCUAAAAUAAGUGCUUCUACUUCCAGUGAACUUGUAUUAAAUAGAACUAAUAGUAAUAAAUUAGAUUAUUUGUAUGAAGUGUCUGUUGAACUAGAGGUGAUUAAUCCUAUCUCUUUUCCUGUUAUUAAUCCAUAUACUGCAUUUGACAAACAACAAUUCUUACCUAUCAGGGCUAUCAAAUCUUUGAUCAAGCACCAUACCAAGGGCGUAAAAGAAUAUAUUCAAGUUUCAAAAGUGGAUCAACAUCCUAUCUUUGCUACUAAGAAGAAACAGUUCAUUACACUCUAUAUUCCUCCAAAAUUUUCUUCUCAAUGGAAGCAACAGCGAUUUACUCAUAUUCAUUUUGGUGUAAUUAGAUUCUCUUUAUCCUUUCAUGGCAGAAAGGGACUGCCAAUGGUGGCUCGCAUAGCCUUGCUUGACAACAGAUUCACAAAAUACCAGCAUACUUGUAUAGUAACCGUAAAAACUACUCUAAAUACUGGAACUGUUUUUGUGACUAUUUUCCCCAAUUUUAACAUGUCUCUGUCAGAUCCCUAUUUGCUUGAUGCUCUUAAAAUUCAGGUACAAAUCAUAGGAGCAGACCAGGUGACAUGCUAUUGCUGCAACCCUUCACUAUCAGAUGAUUUAUCGUGUCCAAAAUCAUAUUUUGGAUCUCACAAUUUUUGGUGGAGAAGAUGCUCUUUUUAUCCGUAUUAAUGAGAAGAAUUCAGUUUCUUGCACCCAUAUGCCAAGACAAAUUUCAAAAUUAGAAUUAAUUCAAUUGUUACCAGACAAUUAGAUUACUGAUUAUGAGUUCCUGCAUUCUCAAGCAAAUGAAUCUAUUGAGUCUUGAAACUCAAAAAUCUCUCAAACACAAGAAGGGAGAAUUUCAAUUACUUUUGAUCAUUCCCAUUUAAAACCAAAUUCAAAAAAAUCUUAUCCUACUAUGAUGUUUGCACAGGUUUCCAUGGAGACACUAACUGAAGAAGAAAUAGCUCUUGAAAGAUAUGAUGAAAACUGAGAAAAAGGUUUUGCCCAAAAUAUUAUUGCUCAUUUCACUAAGGAAAGUGAACCAGUAUGUCAUUUUCAAGAUCCUAUUUCUGGACAUAUUUAUUUUGAUAUAUGUACUAAAUGUGAUGACUGUUGGUGGGAAUAUCAUUUUGAUGAUGAUUAUCCAUUACCUUCAAAAGGGAAGAAAAAGACAAAGUCAUGUGAGGAAAGACCCUGUAAACCAGAUCUUGAACCACAGGACCUUGAUACUGACAACUUCAUGUCAAAAAGAAGUGGUUUUGAUGGAUAUCAAAUUCCGUCAUCUUGGAUUCUUAAGGAACCACAGACUCCCAAGCAGAAACUCCAUCCAUACUAUCAGAAGUGUUUGGCUAUCUUGGAAAACGAAGUCAAGAAAGUAUGAAAACCAGUUCAAAAACCCAUUUAAUCCGUACAGCCAUCAAGAUGCCUGUACCAAAAACCUGAGGAAUCACUUCAACAAGUUUUCAUGUUUAAUGAAGAAGAUUUCCCCAAACUAGAACCUUUUAUCAAAAAUGGUUCUAGACAUGUGCCAAUAGUUUAGAAUGCUCAUCCUAUAGUUCUCCCAACAUGAGAAACUGUUAGAUCCAAUCCUACUGAAGAAAUUCUGAAUUGGCAAACUGAAAACUCCUUGGUUCAGAAUACUGGUCUUACUUCCAUCCAUAAGAAUGUGACUGAGGUAAAAGGGAAAAUUGAUCAUAUUGAUACUGCUGUUAAAACUCAAAACUCUCAGGUAUCUCAUAUGAUUGAAGUUCUUGAAAAAAUGCUAGAAAACUUGAAAUAUGAAUUGCCUUCACAUUUUUCAUCUUUAGCUAACUUUGUUUUGAAUCAGGAAAAGAAAACUCGCUUUAUUAAAAAUCAAAUUGAAACUCUCAAAACUACAAGUGAGGUCCCAAAAUUUGAUGUUUGACCAUUUGAACCAACCGCACCCAAGGUAAGUCCAGGAUUUGGUACUACUUCCAUAAAAAAUUGGCCUACUCCUUUUUACUUUGGUGGUGUAGCUACACCAAAUCCUUCUGACUUCCUUCCUAGUCAACAAGAGCAGACUCCUCCUCAUUUUGAUAUUGUUAAAGUAUUACAAGAAUAUCGUAAGAAGAAGCAAAAACAAAAGGAUGAAGAAAGAGAAAGGAAGAAGGUUGAAAAAGAAAGGAAAAGGAAGCUGUUCAAGAACCAGAAAGUUCAUUGAUGUAUACUAAAAUACAUACUAACCCUAUAUUUUCUCUUGAACAGGAAAAGGAAGCAGGAAAGACUAAAAGUCUAUGACAAUCCUUUAUCAUCUAUGCUCCAAGAAUUGCAUGAUGAGUCAGUACCAUACAUUUCUACUUAUGACUAGAUGACACAUAACUCAGAAAAUUCUAAUACAACAGAUUCAGAAUCUGAAUCAAAUGAAAAUCAAAUCUUAGAAUCAUCUGAGAAAGUGACAUCAUCUGAAGAAGAAGAAAUUUCGAUCAUAAAUAUGGCUACUGAAGCUGAAGUUGUACAUCUUGAUGAUGAGGAAGAUGGUGAAGGAGAAACAUCAAAUGCUUCCAGAACUCAAAGGACCACUUUUCCAAAAUCAAAAGGAGUUCAAACUUUUACUAUUGAUGAUAUCCCAUCUGAAAAAUGGGAAGCAAGAUUUCAGGAUUUUCAUGCCUGGAUGACUAUCCAAAAUAUUAUUGAAGAAUCUCAUUUUGAAAUUUUGUCUGACUUUACUGCUCAUUUUUUCAGGAAUUCUUAAAGAUUGGUGGGCAAGCCUUGGUGAUCAAGACAAGAUGUAUUUCUUGACCCGUCAAGACUUUUCUGAAAACAUCAAUAUACUGCACUUGAUGUUCAUAGGAGAUGUAAAGGAGAGCAAGGAGAUAAAGAGAAAAGAAUUCUUUUAAAUGAAAUGUUUCUCUUAUGAUCGUAGAGAUAUUAAUAAACAUUUCAAGAAGAUGACUAAACUAUUUUUUGCUCUUGGUGCAGAUAUUAAUCUUAAACAAACUUUUGUAAGCUCACUUCCAAAAUCUCUUGCUAAGGGAGCUGAAAUGCACAUCCAUAAUAAAUAUGGAUCCAUCUUAAAUUUGUCCACAGGACAAAUUAAGCAGGCAGUUAUCUUAUCUUUGGAUGAUCUUUGCAACAAAAGAAAAGUUAUCAGAGAAUAUCUAAAAGGAGAUGUUUGCUUAGAUCAAUCUUGUAAAAAGUCAGAAUUGAUUACAAAAGGAAAAUGUCAAGCUUGUGCUCCACACAAAAGAAGGAAAAAAUUCAAAAAAUUCAAAAGCUUCAAUAAAAGUUGUCCUAGAAAAACCUUCCGCAAAAGAUGGAAAUAUUUUAUUAGGAAGGAGAAGAAGUUCAGAGAAAGAAAAGGCAACAGAUGUUACAUCCGUGGAAAGCCAGGAUAUUUUGCAAAACAAUGUCCUCAGAAUCAAAAGGAAGUAAAAUUAAUUUCAGAAAUUAAGGAUGAAUUUAAAUUUCAGUUUCUGAUUUAGAAUCUGAAUUUUCUGAGUAAGAAAAUGAAACUGAUCAUACUCUUUUGGCUUUGCAAGUUCCAGAUGAAAUCUUUACUAUUUCCCCCAAUAGUAAAGAAGUACUAGGGAAAACUUAUCCUCAGACCCUUGCUCAUAUUCUUUUGGAUAAGUACUGCAAAUCAAUUCUUGUAAUUGCUUUCUUUCAUUCACAUGCAUCCUUGUCAAUCAUGAAAUAAGACAUUCUACCUGAUGAAUGUUGGAUUCAUGAAAUUCAUUAUUUUAGAGUAGCUAAUGGUGAGCUUUUUCAAACAAAGUUUAUAACCAAAAGACAUUCUAACUGAUGAAUGUUGGAUUCAUGAAAUUCAUUAUUUUAGAGUAGCUAAUGGUGAGCUUUUUCAAACAAAGUUUAUAACCAAAGAUCCUAUCACCAUUAAGUUUCUUCCAGAUUGUCAAGUCAAAGCAAAGUUUUUAGGCGCAAAUUUUACUAGAAAGGAUCUCAUUCUUGGUUUUGAUCUUUACAGAACAAAUCAAUAUCUUGUUACAACUUAUGGAAUUAAGUCCAAAAAGUUUUUUAAAAAUUUCAUAGAAAUCCCAAAGUUGUACGUGAUCCAGGAUGAGGUACUCUCUCUUGAAAAACAACUCAAAGAAUUUCAAGAUCAAAUCAUUAAAGAAUCUUGUGCCUCAAAUCAUCAAGAGUUCUUACAAAAAUGUGACCAUCCAUUGUGGGAAAAUUCUGAUUUUUAUAUCCGAUUUCCUUUUAAAAAGAAUGAGGAUGUAAAUCCCACAAAAGCUAGUCAUUCAGGAAUGAAUCUUGAAGAUUCUAAAAUAGCUGAGCAAGAAUGUGUUGAACUUUUGAAAUUUGGUCUUAUUGAAAGAUCUGAUUCCCAAUGGGCAUGCCAAGGUUUCUAUGUCAACAAAAGAUCUGAACAGGUAAGAGGUAAGAUGAGACUGGUAAUUAAUUAUUUGCCUUUAAACAUCUUUCUUCUGGAUGACAAAUUUUCAAUUCCCAACAGAUUUACAUUAUUUGCCCAAAUUUCAAAAGCAAAAUAGUUUUCAAAGUUUGAUCUUAAAUCUGGAUUUUGACAGUUGGAAAUACAUCCAGAAGAUAGGCAUAAAACUGAUUUUUGCAUUCCAAAUUAUCACUUCCAGUGGAAAGUGAUGCCCUUUAGCCUAAAGACGGCACCUUCACUUUUUUAAAAGGCCAUGAUAAAAAUUUUCCAGCCUAUUCUUCACACUGCACUGGGGUAUAUUGAUGACAUUCUUCUUUUCAGGAACACUUGAGAAGAACACAUCCAAUUGCUUAAUGAUUUUCAUAAUAUUGUUAAGCAAUAUGGUAUCAUGAUUUCUGAGAAGAAAAUGAUUUUGGGAAAACAAGAAAUUCAAUUUCUUGGAAUGAAAAUUUCUGAAGGAAAAUGUACUCCUGAGCAGCAUGUUGGACAAUCAAUUGCAAAUUUUCUUGAAAAAGAUUUGUCAAAAACACAAGUUCAACAGUUUCUUGGAGUUGUUACAAGCCGAUUCAUUCAGUCACUUUAUAGUGCGAUAAAGUACACAGUAAGAUUCAUGGUAACAAGAAUAUGCUGGUCAAGUAAAUGACAAUUUAGCAUAUUCAUCUUAAACGACAAUAUAGCAUUUAAACAAAAUAAGAGCAUGCUUUAUAGUAGUUUUUAACCAUUCAAGAGUAACAAUUAUUAAUUUUACUUGAUCAGAUUUUAACAUGAGACUAGCAUAUCUACUAUUAUGGAUGUAGAUCUAAAACUGUACACUCAAUGUGUAAUAUGCAGGUAGUCAUAUCGUAGUAAUAUGAAUGCAAUAUUUACACAGCAUAAAUUAGCAUGUUCUUGUCUCGAAACUUACCUCUAUUUGGUAUCUCCUUGUCCUUCUUGCUUUCUAGAUGUUGUUGUUUCAUUUCUCCACUUGUUUGCUUGCUCUCCUCACAUUUCUUACAGAAUUGUGUGGAU
RNAcentral lists this long non-coding RNA (11634 nucleotides) under Coffea arabica (coffee). Its description in RNAcentral is "long non-coding RNA (CARA_LNC005321)". Lineage: Eukaryota; Viridiplantae; Streptophyta; Magnoliopsida; Gentianales; Rubiaceae. The record is from RNAcentral.